CCUACGGGAGGCAGCAGUGAGGAAUAUUGGUCAAUGGACGAGAGUCUGAACCAGCCAAGUAGCGUGAAGGAUGACUGCCCUAUGGGUUGUAAACUUCUUUUAUAUGGGAAUAAAACGUUCCACGUGUGGGAUUUUGUAUGUACCAUAUGAAUAAGGAUCGGCUAACUCCGUGCCAGCAGCCGCGGUAAUACGGAGGAUCCGAGCGUUAUCCGGAUUUAUUGGGUUUAAAGGGAGCGUAGGUGGAUUGUUAAGUCAGUUGUGAAAGUUUGCGGCUCAACCAUAAAAUUGCAGUUGAAACUGGCAGUCUUGAGUACAGUAGAGGUGGGCGGAAUUCGUGGUGUAGCGGUGAAAUGCUUAGAUAUCACGAAGAACUCCGAUUGCGAAGGCAGUUCACUGGACUGCAACUGACACUGAGGCUCGAAAGUGUGGGUAUCAAACAGGAUUAGAUACCCUAGUAGUC
This 460-nucleotide ribosomal RNA is filed under the name uncultured bacterium. RNAcentral's name for it is "partial 16S ribosomal RNA". It matches the Rfam family "Bacterial small subunit ribosomal RNA", at positions 338 to 795 of the family's 1533-position model. The record is from RNAcentral.